This 27-nucleotide non-coding RNA is filed under the name Rattus norvegicus (Norway rat). Lineage: Eukaryota; Metazoa; Chordata; Mammalia; Rodentia; Muridae. The record is from RNAcentral.
UACACAUGUUGCCUCUAGUGAGCCUUC